RNAcentral lists this ribosomal RNA (497 nucleotides) under uncultured bacterium. RNAcentral's name for it is "partial 16S ribosomal RNA". It matches the Rfam family "Bacterial small subunit ribosomal RNA", at positions 28 to 507 of the family's 1533-position model. The record is from RNAcentral.
GAUGAACGCUGGCGGCGUGCCUAAUACAUGCAAGUCGAGCGAACAGAUGAGGAGCUUGCUCCUCUGACGUUAGCGGCGGACGGGUGAGUAACACGUGGAUAACCUACCUAUAAGACUGGGAUAACUUCGGGAAACCGGAGCUAAUACCGGAUAAUAUAUUGAACCGCAUGGUUCAAUAGUGAAAGACGGUUUUGCUGUCACUUAUAGAUGGAUCCGCGCCGCAUUAGCUAGUUGGUAAGGUAACGGCUUACCAAGGCAACGAUGAGUAGCCGACCUGAGAGGGUGAUCGGCCACACUGGAACUGAGACACGGUCCAGACUCCUACGGGAGGCAGCAGUAGGGAAUCUUCCGCAAUGGGCGAAAGCCUGACGGAGCAACGCCGCGUGAGUGAUGAAGGUCUUCGGAUCGUAAAACUCUGUUAUUAGGGAAGAACAAAUGUGUAAGUAACUAUGCACGUCUUGACGGUACCUAAUCAGAAAGCCACGGCUAACUACGUG